GACAGGAGGAAACGCAGCGCCAGCAGCAUCUCAUCUACCCUCCUUGACACCUCCUCCCCGUGGCUCCAGCCAGACCCUAGAGGUCAGCCUUGCGGACCAACAGGAGGACUCCCAGCUUUCCCUUUUCAAGAGGUCCCCAGACACGGGCCACCCUCUUCCAGCCCCUGCGGCCAGUGCAAGGAGGCACCAAUGCUCUCAGGCUGUCGCGUGGUGCAGCGUCGAGCAUCCUCGCCGAGGUCCUUUCUGCUGCCUGUCCCGCCUCACCCCGCUCCAUCACACCAGCUGGCCCUCUUUGCUUCCUUUUCCCAGAAUCGUUAAGCCCCGACUCCCACUAGCACCUCGUACCAACCUCGCCCCACCCCAUCCUCCUGCCUUCCCGCGCUCCGGUGUCCCCCGCUGCCAUG
Molecule: regulatory RNA element, 404 nt
Organism: Gorilla gorilla gorilla (western lowland gorilla)
Lineage: Eukaryota; Metazoa; Chordata; Mammalia; Primates; Hominidae
Rfam family: Cyp24a1 internal ribosome entry site (IRES)
About the family: Cyp24a1 (1,25-dihydroxyvitamin D3 24-hydroxylase) expression is translationally regulated via IRES within the 5'UTR, which is responsive to an inflammatory environment.
Source: Rfam